GCCAGUUUGGCCGAGUGGUUUAAGGCGGUGGUUUUAAGUCUUUGAGUCUUUGAACACCAUUAUCGAGAGAUGCGCAGGUUCGAACCCUGCAGCUGGCA
Hypoxylon crocopeplum is the source of this 98-nucleotide non-coding RNA. NCBI's taxonomy places the organism in Eukaryota, Fungi, Ascomycota, Sordariomycetes, Xylariales, Hypoxylaceae. The record is from the annotation of a GenBank genome assembly.